AUUCAGAGGAGAGCUUCGGCAGGAAUCAGGGAUAUUCGAGUGGCGGACGGGUGAGUAACGCGUGAGCAACCUGUCCCAGACAGGGGGAUAACACUUGGAACAGGUGCUAAUACCGCAUAAGACCACGGUAUCACAUGGUACAGAGGUAAAGGAGAAAUCCGGUUUGGGUGGGCUCGCGUCCGAUUAGAUAGUUGGUGAGGUAACGGCCCACCAAGUCAACGAUCGGUAGCCGACCUGAGAGGGUGAUCGGCCACAUUGGAACUGAGAGACGGUCCAAACUCCUACGGGAGGCAGCAGUGGGGAAUAUUGGGCAAUGGGCGAAAGCCUGAACCCCAGCAACGCCGCGUGAGUGAAGAAGGCCUUCGGGUUGUAAAGCUCUGUUAUAGUUGACGAAGGAAGUGACGGUAGGCUAUAAGGAAGCCCCGGCUAACUACGUGCCAGCAGCCGC
RNAcentral lists this ribosomal RNA (448 nucleotides) under uncultured bacterium. RNAcentral describes it as "bacterial SSU rRNA". It matches the Rfam family "Bacterial small subunit ribosomal RNA", at positions 60 to 518 of the family's 1533-position model. The record is from RNAcentral.